Molecule: non-coding RNA, 21 nt
Filed under: Caenorhabditis elegans
Lineage: Eukaryota; Metazoa; Nematoda; Chromadorea; Rhabditida; Rhabditidae
Source: RNAcentral
UUUCCUUUGCUUUUUCAAACU